GACGAACGCUGGCGGCGUGCCUAAUACAUGCAAGUCGAGCGAAGUCUUUCUGGUGCUUGCACUAGAAAAACUUAGCGGCGAACGGGUGAGUAACAUGUAAAGAACCUGCCUCAUAGACUGGGACAACUAUUGGAAACGAUAGCUAAUAACGGAUAACAGCAUUAACUGCAUGGUUGAUGUUUAAAAGUUGGUUUUGCUAACACUAUGAGAUGGCCUUGCGGUGCAUUAGCUAGUUGGUGGGGUAAAGGCCUACCAAGGCGACGAUGCAUAGCCGACCUGAGAGGAUGAUCGGCCACACUGGGACUGAGACACGGCCCAGACUCCUACGGGAGGCAGCAGUAGGGAAUCUUCCGCAAUGGGCGAAAGCCUGACGGAGCAACGCCGCGUGAGUGAAGAAGGAUUUCGGUUCGUAAAGCUCUGUUGUUAGGGAAGAAUGAUUGUGUAGUAACUAUACACAGUAGAGACGGUACCUAAACAGAAAGCCACGGCUAACUACGUG
RNAcentral lists this ribosomal RNA (499 nucleotides) under uncultured bacterium. RNAcentral describes it as "partial 16S ribosomal RNA". It matches the Rfam family "Bacterial small subunit ribosomal RNA", at positions 28 to 507 of the family's 1533-position model. The record is from RNAcentral.